Molecule: ribosomal RNA, 253 nt
Filed under: uncultured bacterium
Lineage: Bacteria
Description: partial 16S ribosomal RNA
Rfam family: Bacterial small subunit ribosomal RNA
Source: RNAcentral
GACGAACGGUCCAAACGUUAUUCGGAAUUACUUGGCUUAAAGGGUGCGUAGGCGGCCUGACAAGUUGGGUGUGAAAUACCUCGGCUCAACCGAGGAAUGGCGCUCAAAACUGCCAGGCUAGAGGAAGAUAGAGGUGAGCGGAACUUAAGGUGGAGCGGUGAAAUGCGUUGAUAUCUUAAGGAACACCCGUGGCGAAAGCGGCUCACUGGAUCUUUUCUGACGCUGAUGCACGAAAGCUAGGGGAGCAAACGGG